AUUUGUUUCUGUGCUUCCAAAGUCAACCUCCCCGGUGACUGCCAAAAUUUUCCUCCAAAUUCUCCGCUUUUGCUUGGAUUUUCCAUUUCUCAAAAGAUUAAAUUUCUUCAUAUGGGAAUCCACCCUGCCUCUGUCGUAACCCAAAAAUCUCCAAUUCACUAUUGACUGAGUCGACUAUCCUUGAAUUCCUUACCUUUUUCUCUCUAAACAUUGCUUCGCAAAGUAAUUAUUUCACACACAAAUCUGUAUGCUUUUCUCUUGGGUAGUUUCCUGAUUUCUUAGUUCUCUGCUAUUGAUUUGAACUCUUUCAAUACAAAACAAUGGAUGACAUGAAAGGCAAGUUCAAGGGUUUAAUGAAGAAAGUGAAUACACAAUUAUCAUCGUCUUCCUCUGGUAAAUUCAAGGGCCAUGGUCGAGUUUUGGGUGGUGCCUCCUCUUCUUCAUCAGGACCCACUAACCCUAUUCACGCCCGGUAUUCUCAACCCAUUAACCAAAAGCCAACACCAACCACUUCUUCACUCAAUUCUUCUUCGAAUUCCAAGCCCUUGCCUCAAAAAACACCCAAGUUUGAUCAAAACAAACCUGAUCCUCUUAACAACUCAACCCCAAAUCGCAAACCCGCUGAUGAGUUUUAUCCAUUUGACUCGUUGAUUACUUCUGGAAAAAGAUCUCAAAAUGGCUAUUCAUUGAAUGUGUUUGAAUGCCCGAUUUGUGGACAAUCAUAUAAAUCACAAGAAGAGGUUUCUAUGCAUGUAGAAAGCUGUGCCAAUAAAAACAACAACAAAGGUUCGGUUGAUGAAGGAAAUGUUACGGGAGAAUCUAGUAGUGGCGAAUUGCAGGCUUCUGUCGGUAUGUAUUUGUCAGGGAAGCCGCCCGCGGGGUCUGUGGAAGUUGCGCUUCGACUGUUCAGAAAUGUUGUUAGGGAGCCAGAUAAUGCAAAGUUCAGGAAGAUUAGAAUGGGGAAUCCAAAGAUUAGGGAGGCUAUCAGUGAGGUUACAGGAGGGGUUGAAUUGUUGGAGUGUAUCGGAUUUGAGCUGAAGGAGGAGGGUGGAGAAAUAUGGGCGGUUAUGGAGGUUCCUAAUGAGGAGAGAAUGAGAUUGAUUAAUGAGGUGAUUGGGUUAUUAGAACCUAGAAAGGUAGAGGAGGAGAUGCAGAAGGUAGAGGUUGCUCCCGCUGGGACAGAGGAGCAAGUUGAGCCAAAGAAGAUUGACAGGCAGAUCCGGGUCUUCUUCUCUGUCCCUGAAAGUGUAGCAGCAAAAAUUGAGCUGCCAGAUUCAUUUUACAACCUGUCUCUUGAAGAGCUGAAAAGAGAAGCUGAUGCAAGGAAGAAAAAAAUUGCAGAAUCUCAGCUAUUGAUUCCUAAGUCUUACAAAGAGAAGCAGGCAAAAGCUGCCAGGAAGAGAUACAGAAGAACCCUUAUACGUUUCCAAUUUCCUGAUGGAGUGGUGCUUCAGGCUGUCUUUGCUCCUUGGGAACCGACUAGUGCUCUCUAUAAGUUUGUGAGCACAUCACUAAAGGACCCCAAUUUGGAGUUUGAGCUGCUAGAUCCUGUAAUGGUCAAACGACGGGUAAUCCCUCAUUUUCCUGCUGCAGGAGAGAGAAUCUCUACACUAGAAGAUGAAGAUCUGGUUCCUUCAGCUCUCAUCAAGUUCAGGCCUAUUGAAACUGAAUCAUCAGUCUUCACAGGGCUCUGUAAUGAACUCCUGGAGAUUAGUGAACCUCUUAAUUGAUUCUGAAGUAUGAAAACAAGUAACUAUAUCAUUACCUGUGAGCGCUUCAGCUCAAGCUUGAAGCGAGCUAUAUUACAUAUUAGGAGCGGGUGACAAUUUCAAAGUUUUGCUCUUUUUCCAGUUACAUUUUUCAGUCAAAUUGUAUUUUGUAUUCCAAAAUUUUCAUUGGCAAAAAGAUUAUAGUUACCAACAAGUGAUACUGAAAUCGUCUCAGAAAGAAGAUCUUACCCCCUCAAGAAAUCCAGGAAACGGCACAGAAAUGUGCUUUUCCCUCCCAAAUCACCUUUUAAUUUUCUCUAAUAGUGGUCAAAUAGACAGCUUAUUUAUACAUGAAGCAUUUCUUAGCAUAGCUCACAAACUCAUAUGCAUUACCGUAAACAAAGAAAACAGUAACUUUACUCAUUCUAAUUAUAAUUUAUUACAUCAGAAAGAAUAAGAAUAACCGAACAAUCAUCAAAUUCAUUUACAUUCUGAACUCAAAAACCAUCCAACUGCAGCCAAUCCGAACAGUCACAAUUCCUAUGAUUAUGCCCCUUUCUAAACAGAACUGCAUGAAGACAUUUCAUUAAUUAUUACACCAUUUUGUUUUGAAAUUUUGUGUCACAGAGUUCAUUUCAAUAAAGAAAUAAAAGAGUUAAUCUGAAAGUAUCAUGUCAAUGAAGCUUUUACGCUUUCUUUUUAGCUGAUGCUUUUUGCUUCUCCAAUUGUUCAAAAAGACUUCCAUCGUAAACAGCUCUCACUGUUUCUUUCUGCAGUAAACCAUUACUGUCCUUGCAAAGAAUGUAUAGUGUUUUCCAUUCUGUCCAGCUUGCAACCCUGCAUUAAUUGAAUUUCAUAAUUUAUUAAUUUCCAACAGUUUUUAUUACGUAUAAAAAUUGUGUUAAAUUUUACAAAAAAAUCUGAAACCAACCAUCCUAGAUAGUCUUUAGGUUCUCUGUUCGCCCUUAGCAUUCCCAUCAGUUCACCUGAUGUCAGUGCAUCUGGAUGUGUACGCGCAUGCUUGCAAAAAACGGCUUCGAAUUUCUCGUCAACAAAUCUGCAAAUAUUAAUAAAUAAAACGAUCAAAACAUUUACAAGAGAAAUACUUGUCCAACCCAAAAUUCUAAGCUUAGUAAGAUAACAUCUAUAUCUUUAAAGAAAGGAAAAGUAUAUUCUUCACCAUCAAGAUUUAGCUAUCAAGUUGUUUGGCAAGAAAGAAAAUGAAUUAUACCUUCCAUCCUUGUCAUAGACUCCAGAAUCGCUUCCAUGUUUGCCUAGCUGAAUGUUCUGAACCUCAAUUGGGAAUAGUAAAGAAGGAUACUUUCCCUGCCAAAUUGCCAAUAUCAAUCAGGAAACUUUUGAUUUAAUCCAUUAUGCCUAUUAUUUUUUCACUUUUUUUUUUCUUUAGUGAUUUUUUUUUUUUGAAGAUAAAGAUUGGUUUAAAGUUUAAUGAACAUGCAAGGAGUAUGGAUUCUAUUAAAUAUGAAGAGAUACAAAACAAAACAAAGCAAAGCAAAGCAGGUAAUUACUAGGUGAUGCUAGGUGAUGUUCUUGUGUGGUCUAUACAUGCCAAGCAAAAGAGCAAGUCCAAGAAUUUUGAAUUUUCCUUUUGUUUUGGAGUUUGCUAGGUGAUGUUCUUGUGUAGUCUAUAUAUGCCACCACAAAACAAAGCAGGUGAUUAACAGGUGAUGCUUUAAUUAAUGGGUAACUAAAGUAUUAUGGAAAACCAAUUAAAUUAAAUUUAAUUGGCAAUAAUAGCCUUUUAACUUUGUCUAACUACUUCUAUAUAAUUAUAUAUUCUCUAUGAUUUUGGGUCUAGGUAUAUUUAUUAGGGCAAAGCAGGGGAAAAAGUAUAUUAAGGCAUUGAUGCUCUUGAAUGUGAGUUGAUGUGUGCACAUGAUAGCAAUAUUUAUUAGCAUUAAACAAGUUUUGAGAAGGUGAUGUUUCCCCUUAAUGUAGCUGUCAAACCAAUUACACUUGCAAAGAUAACUAACGCCUUCUCCAUCUCACCAACUUGUAACUUCACUAAGUAAUACUAAUAUUUUAAUUAUUAAAUAUAUUAACUUGAAUUAUCUAAUUACUU
RNAcentral lists this unclassified non-coding RNA (3792 nucleotides) under Hevea brasiliensis (rubber tree). The record is from RNAcentral. Lineage: Eukaryota; Viridiplantae; Streptophyta; Magnoliopsida; Malpighiales; Euphorbiaceae.